Molecule: ribosomal RNA, 301 nt
Filed under: uncultured bacterium
Lineage: Bacteria
Description: partial 16S ribosomal RNA
Rfam family: Bacterial small subunit ribosomal RNA
Source: RNAcentral
CAGCAGCCACGGUAAUACGUAGGGUGCGAGCGUUAAUCGGAAUUACUGGGCGUAAAGCGUGCGCAGGCGGUUAUAUAAGACAGAUGUGAAAUCCCCGGGCUUAACCUGGGAACUGCAUUUGUGACUGGCGAGCUAGAGUAUGGCAGAGGGGGGUAGAAUUCCACGUGUAGCAGUGAAAUGCGUAGAGAUGUGGAGGAAUACCGAUGGCGAAGGCAGCCCCCUGGGCCAAUACUGACGCUCAUGCACGAAAGCGUGGGGAGCAAACAGGAUUAGAUACCCCCGUAGUCCCUGUCUCUUAUAC